This 72-nucleotide transfer RNA is filed under the name Setipinna tenuifilis (common hairfin anchovy). RNAcentral describes it as "tRNA-Leu". It matches the Rfam family "tRNA". From Rfam's summary of the family: Transfer RNA (tRNA) molecules are approximately 80 nucleotides in length. Their secondary structure includes four short double-helical elements and three loops (D, anti-codon, and T loops). The record is from RNAcentral. Lineage: Eukaryota; Metazoa; Chordata; Actinopteri; Clupeiformes; Engraulidae.
GCUUUUGAAGGAUAACAGUUAUCCAUUGGUCUUAGGAACCAAAAAUUCUUGGUGCAAGUCCAAGCAAAAGCU